CUGCGUUUUCGUUUAGGGGGAGCCUUCUGAGCAAUGCCUUUAGCUUUCAUCUCCUCAUUUAUGAAGUUUCUAAGGGUGCGUCUGAUAUAUAUUCGAGCUAGGUCCUGAAGAUUCCUAACAGCACACGGAGGCAGUCCCACAGUAUCAUGUUUGCCAUUGUCAUUUCUGUUUGGUUGCACUAGUGGGGCAAAUGAAACAGCAAGGAUAUUUUUACUUUCCCACGUGUUCUGUCCCGUCCUCAAGAUUUGCGUUAGCUGAUCUUCUAUAGGCAUUACUAAAAUGCCUCCGACUUUCAAUAAAAUUUUCAUGUAGUUUUCAUGGUCUUUCUGGACUCCAGCUCCACAGUAAAUCCGGUCAUACUGAUGACUGUCUGAGGCUAUUUCCAAACAGUUACCAACCACAAAGGCAGGUUCACAGAACUCAAAUUUAUCAAAGCUAUCACUAUAUUUUAUGAAGCUCUCCAAUUUUUCCUUGGCAUAUUCUACCACAUCUGAAUGAAGCUCUAUUCCAUGAUUUAUCCCAAAAGGUCCU
Molecule: long non-coding RNA, 531 nt
Filed under: Gallus gallus (chicken)
Lineage: Eukaryota; Metazoa; Chordata; Aves; Galliformes; Phasianidae
Source: RNAcentral